UACUUAGAGCAGGCGCAUUAGAGGAUGUAAUGGGGUUCAUGGGCUCAAGUUCCUAGGCCAGAAUUGAUUUAAAAAAAUAAAAAAUGAUUUUAAGUCAUUGAACCGAUCCUUAGUAGUGAACUUGUAUGAAGCGGUUCAGACCACGUGUCAAUCAGUCACUGUCUUUUCUUUCCUUCUCCACAUCUUCUCCUCGUCUCUUACAGAAGCUGGAGUUCGGUAAUAAGUCUAGCUUUAGCUUCCUCCACUCUCUCUCCAUCUCCUUCCAUUGUUCGUCCUCUUCUCUCCUCUUUCCUCAUUUCAUCAGAUUCAAUUCUUUUCCCUUUCAUCUCAAUUCUUCUCUGUUUUUUAUUUCUCUUUUGUAACAAUCAGAGGAGAAUGGUGGUGGUCUGAUAAAUUGGACCUUAUUCCUUGUGUAUGUUUACUGAAAUCAAUAUAUCUUGCGAUUAUAGAGCUCUAAUCUCCAUUUUUUUCUUAUGAGCUUCAUGUUCAAGUCAAGUAUCAUUAUGCUUUUAUAUUUGCCGUUUCGGGGAUAAAGGAGGAGACUUUUAAUCCUCUUCUCUAAUCAUGGCGUCAACAUAUUGAUUACUCUUCCUGGACUGUCCUUUUGCUUUUUGAUUCCUUUGGUUAUGUUUUGAUGAUAGAGACAUUUUUUUUUACUUACAAUGAGUACACCAAGAAACGGCUUUUCCAAGCAUCAGAGAGCUGAGAAAGUCUGUGGUCAGAGAGGGCCUAAUUGGAUCCUAAUCGCAGGUGGAGCCUUGUUGAGCACUCUGUCCAUUCGCUUUGGCUACAAGCUUAAGCAGUCGCCUCUUUUCAAACCUCCUCAUCAGUCUAAUGCCUCUCCUGGAUUUAAAGCCAAUGGAACAUCUGAGAGGCAAAGAUGUUGUUGUUUGCACUCCUCCACCACGUCUUCCUGUGCAAAGAAUAAUGGUUAUUCCUGCUUCCGCUCCGUUCCAGGUCUGUCUUGGAACCAUUGCUCAGAGGUUUCAUUUUGUAUUCAUGAUUGCUGUUUGUUGUAAUUGUAGAUGCUUUAGCUGUUAACUCUGAUGGUCGUUACUUGACGACUAGAGGAGUUGAUCGCCAUGUUCAUAAGGUCCAAUUUGUCUCAGCUUUUAUGAUUAUGUGUCUACAGGCCUUUACAGGUCACAGGAACAUCUGCCUCUGACUCUUUGCGUUCUAUAUAAUAUAUAUUCUGUAGUUUGUGUAUUGUGUUACAGGAAGGUAGACAAGGCAGAGAAGCUUGAUGGAGGAGAAGGUGGCAAAAGGAGUGAGUCAUUAGUGGCGAGGGCAUUAGGUGUUUAGAGUGGAGAAGGUCCAAGCUCCGGUAUGUGACUAGAAGACGGUGACGUUGGAGAUAGAACUUUGGCUUUAGAAUUUUAGGUGUAGGUUUAAUCUAUUCUAUUAAAACAGCAGUGUGACCAAUUGAUAAAAGUAGGAUCCAAUUAAAAAAACUGAUAUUUAUAUAACUGCAAUUAAUUAUAUCAAAGCACUAACACCUUAUAAUUUUAUCUACCAAAGACAGUUAUCACUUUUUCUGUGAAAGUGCUUUUACGAUGAUGACGUAAGCUUCUGAAAUAAAACUGUCCUAAUUCUUCUGAAUAUAACUGCAAUAAUUGACGUGUACAAUGUACUCCACUAUAAUUUCUAUUUUUUGAAUAUUAUUUUUUGGUUUACUUUUAUUUGUCUUGCACCAUAUGCAUUCUCUUUUUUCUUUCACCAUAUGGGCCAUUAAUCAAAAAUUUGUUGGCAAAAAUGAUAUUUAAAAAAACAAUUAAUUUUAUAUUUGUGUAUUUUUUGUAAUCAUAUUUGUGUAUAAAUUUUAAUCAAAAUAUAUUUUAUAAAAUAAUAGAAAUUUAAAAGUUGAUCCAACAUAUGUUCGGUUCUUUGUAAUUAUAUGUUUGUGUACCCGUUUCUUUGUAAUCAUAUUAUAUGUUCUAGAUUUUGACCCGCGGAUCUAAUGGUGGUUUGUAAUUUUUUUUUUAUGUUUCUAUAAAUAUGUAACAUUUAUUGAUAAUUUCCUUUAAAUAAAUUAGAUAUAAUUGUAUAAAGAGAAUAAUAAGAAGGUUCUUAAAUAAAAUGAAUACAUAGUUAGAUAUAAAUUAAAUUUCUAGAAACAUAUAUAUAGAAACAUAGAAAACAAAAAAAAAUACAAACCAACGUUAUACAUACGGGUCAAAAUCCAGAACAUACAAUAUAAUUACAAAGAACCGAAUGUAUGUUGGAUCAACUUUUAAAUUACUAUUAUUUGAUAAAAUAAAUUAUGAUUAAAAUUUAUACACAUAUAUAAUUACAAAAAAUACAGAAAUAUAAAAAUUAAAUUUAAAAAAAAAAGUUAAAAUAAAAUAUAUACCCGCCCUUUAAAGGGCGGGUCAAAAUCUAGUCUAUUCUAUUAAAACAGCAGUGUGACCAAUUGAUAAAAGUAGGAUCCAAUUAAAAAAACUGAUAUUUAUAUAACUGCAAUUAAUUAUAUCAAAGCACUAACACCUUAUAAUUUUAUCUACCAAAGACAGUUAUCACUUUUUCUGUGAAAGUGCUUUUACGAUGAUGACGUAAGCUUCUGAAAUAAAACUGUCCUAAUUCUUCUGAAUAUAACUGCAAUAAUUGACGUGUACAAUGUACUCCACUAUAAUUUCUAUUUUUUGAAUAUUAUUUUUUGGUUUACUUUUAUUUGUCUUGCACCAUAUGCAUUCUCUUUUUUCUUUCACCAUAUGGGCCAUUAAUCAAAAAUUUGUUGGCAAAAAUGAUAUUUAAAAAAACAAUUAAUUUUAUAUUUGUGUAUUUUUUGUAAUCAUAUUUGUGUAUAAAUUUUAAUCAAAAUAUAUUUUAUAAAAUAAUAGAAAUUUAAAAGUUGAUCCAACAUAUGUUCGGUUCUUUGUAAUUAUAUGUUUGUGUACCCGUUUCUUUGUAAUCAUAUUAUAUGUUCUAGAUUUUGACCCGCGGAUCUAAUGGUGGUUUGUAAUUUUUUUUUAUGUUUCUAUAAAUAUGUAACAUUUAUUGAUAAUUUCCUUUAAAUAAAUUAGAUAUAAUUGUAUAAAGAGAAUAAUAAGAAGGUUCUUAAAUAAAAUGAAUACAUAGUUAGAUAUAAAUUAAAUUUCUAGAAACAUAUAUAUAGAAACAUAGAAAACAAAAAAAAAUACAAACCAACGUUAUACAUACGGGUCAAAAUCCAGAACAUACAAUAUAAUUACAAAGAACCGAAUGUAUGUUGGAUCAACUUUUAAAUUACUAUUAUUUGAUAAAAUAAAUUAUGAUUAAAAUUUAUACACAUAUAUAAUUACAAAAAAUACAGAAAUAUAAAAAUUAAAUUUAAAAAAAAAAGUUAAAAUAAAAUAUAUACCCGCCCUUUAAAGGGCGGGUCAAAAUCUAGUUGUUUUUUAAAAAAUUAGUUAAGUUUGAUAUACCUGUCAUAACUAUGUAACCAAUUUCAAUAUAUAAAAAAUUUAAUAUAAAUUUGUAUUUUUAUAUUUUAUAUUUUUUUUUAAUUUUUAAUAAUGCCAAUUAUUGUAUGAAUAAUCUUUGUAUGUUUUUGAAUUCUCAAUGUAUUGAAUAAAAUUUUAAUGUCAUUUUUGUGUUAUCUAUUCUUAAUGUAUUGAAUAAUUUUUUAAAAAAAUUAUAAAAGAUUAUUAUAUUUUAUUCAUGUAUUGUUAAUUAAUUGAAAGUUUAAAAAAAUAUAAAUAAUAAUGUUUUAUUUCUAUGAACUCCUUCUUGAGAUUCACUAAUGCAAGAACACAAUAAAUAGAGGUUCAACACUAUUUAUGGUUCCACCAAAAAAUAUUAAAAAAUUCUUAUGAACCCUAAGAGGGGGUUCACUAAUUCUGAUGCUCUUAUGGUUUUCCUUUUUUCCAUGUAAGGGACCAUAUACACGUUUCUAUUUUCUGGUGUCCAAUUCAAAUACUUUGAGUUUAGUAAUUAUUGUGUUUGUUUUUAACAUAUCAGUUUAACAGAGUAUGUGGUUUUGCUUGCAAGAAACUGGUUUUGUAUCCAAAGUAAACAAGAGCAAGUAUAUGAUGUCUCUGUUUACUUGGCUCUGGCGCACUCUAGCUCAUUAGGACCAGGGUGGGACCGUGGGAGCACAAGACCCAUGUAUGCUAAGGUUUCGGCAAGAUAAUAGACAACUUUGUCUACCUAUUUCAACCACAUUUUUCUCUAUAUGAAAUAUCAAAUCGUUUGGUUCUUGCACAAUCUCAAACUGUAUUCCUUCUUGCUUUUUUUCUUUUUUGCAUUUAAAUAGAGCUUUAUGAGCUAUUUUCCUUUUCAAUAAAGCUCUUAUUAGCUCAAUCUAUCUUGCUAGGCAUUUACUCACAGUUUGCACUAUACCCGUCUAUACUUGCUGGAUCAAAACAUAAAUAGUUAUUCUCAUCUCCAAAUUUUCAGCCAAAGUCAAACUUGGUGUUAUCUGUCUUUGAUUCACGCAAAUUGCAUUCCAAGUGUAUGUAAGACUCCUCAAAAAAAAAAUUGCAAAAGCCAAAAUCUUUGACAAUUGAUACUGUAAACAAAGGAUAGUAGUAUUGAAUAUAUUCUUUAACAAAAUUAUCUGCUCAAUACAAACAAGAAAUACAAAAUAUGAUUUUCAACUUUUCUCACCACAACAAUAACGUAAUAGUAAUAAGACUAAUAAUAUAUAUUCCCAGUUUCUCAGAUUUUUUUUCUUGCAAGAAAAAUAAUAAACACAACUCAAGAGUUGAACUAUAUGAAACCAAAAAUACAGAGAAG
Molecule: RNA transcript, 4713 nt
Organism: Brassica rapa (field mustard)
Lineage: Eukaryota; Viridiplantae; Streptophyta; Magnoliopsida; Brassicales; Brassicaceae
Source: RefSeq, a predicted model, not a curated record